This 131-nucleotide ribosomal RNA is filed under the name uncultured bacterium. RNAcentral describes it as "partial 23S ribosomal RNA". It matches the Rfam family "Bacterial large subunit ribosomal RNA", at positions 1 to 131 of the family's 2925-position model. The record is from RNAcentral.
AUCAAGUGAUAGAAGGGCAUUCGGUGGAUGCCUUGGCGCUAAGAGGCGAUGAAGGACGUGGUACGCUGCGAAAAGUUACGGGGAGCUGCGAACAAGCUUUGAUCCGUAAAUAUCCGAAUGGGGAAACCCGG